ACCACACUAUCGUAUACCAGUGUGCACCAAUGUAUUAAGAAACGUAAUAAAAAUUUUAAAAUAAAAUUCAAGAUUGUCAUUAAAAAUAAUUGACACAAAUUUUUUUUUUUAUUUUCAUUUAAAUUUUGGUAAAAUAUUUAAAAAUUUAUAAUAAUUUUAUUGUUAUUAAAAAUAAAACCUCGUGUUUUCUAUACGUUGAAAAAAAAUGGAGCCAUUAGAUGUAGAAGAGACAAUUAUCCAGCUCAAUAGAAACGAUCUAGUUUUUAUUGGGUGUCAAAUCGAGGAAGGGUGGGUGGCUGUGCCACUGGACUGGACAACGAACCGUGGUUAUAUUUAUUAUGGGAAAGAUUACGAUGUUGUCCAGUGGAGUCGAAACCCCAAUCAUCCUCGUCCUAUCAAGAAAUGGCCAAUUCUGGACCACGACGGGAUAUUUUUUAAGUAAGGUUAACAAAUAUGUGGACAAUAUCUCAACACUUCUAUAUGAUUGGACGUAAUCAUAAUGGAUAAGGUUAUUUUUCUUGUUGAUGGUCAGAAAUGUCAUCGCCAUAUGUACUGUAUUAAAAAGAAAAAGAGCAGAUGGGGAAGGAGGCUGCCUUCAGGGCGAUUAAAACUUACUUACGUAGGCACCACGAGACCUAUAAGUAGGCGCAAAUCGAAAAGAGAAAAAAAAAAAAAGGAAAAGGAGAAGGGAGUGAAGAGGUAAAGGAAUAGGUGAAGGAAGAGCCGGCAGAGUAAAAUUUUUUUAUUUUCAAUUUAUUAUUUUUUUUUUAUCAUAAAUGUCAGUUGACUAAUCUUCAAUAUUAUUAUGAACACACGUAAAGUAGACAAAUUGCGUGAUGACCACUAUUUUCCUCCAUUUUUGUUUUAUUAUUAAACAACUAGAUGAAAAUAGAGAACAAAAGAAAAUUAUUAGGUUUUUAGACCUACACAACCAUGUUAAUGUCAUGUCAGGUCAUGUCGAGGUCAUCUCGAGGUCGUACUUCUGACUAUCAAUCGGUGUUGCUAAACAAAAGAAGUCAGCAUUUGUUUUUCUACAUUUUGUGAUAUUUUGUUAAUUUUCUAACUUAGAUUAAAAAAUGUUAUUAUUUUUAGACUACAUAAUUAUAAUUCAAGUAUAAAUUUAUUCUGAACAAAGUAUUACAAUGAAGAAUAUAUUAUUUAUUAAUUUAUAAUACAAACACGAUGAUUUAA
This is a long non-coding RNA of Microplitis demolitor, 1191 nucleotides long. RefSeq lists it as uncharacterized. The transcript is spliced from 4 exons. The record is from RefSeq and is a predicted model, not a curated record. NCBI's taxonomy places the organism in Eukaryota, Metazoa, Arthropoda, Insecta, Hymenoptera, Braconidae.